Molecule: ribosomal RNA, 446 nt
Filed under: uncultured bacterium
Lineage: Bacteria
Description: bacterial SSU rRNA
Rfam family: Bacterial small subunit ribosomal RNA
Source: RNAcentral
CCCAGACUCCUACGGGAGGCAGCAGUGGGGAAUAUUGCACAAUGGGGGAAACCCUGAUGCAGCGACGCCGCGUGAGUGAAGAAGUAUUUCGGUAUGUAAAGCUCUAUCAGCAGGGAAGAAAAUGACGGUACCUGACUAAGAAGCCCCGGCUAACUACGUGCCAGCAGCCGCGGUAAUACGUAGGGGGCGAGCGUUAUCCGGAUUUACUGGGUGUAAAGGGAGCGUAGACGGCUGGUCAAGUCUGAAGUGAAAGCCCGGGGCUUAACCCCGGAACGGCUUUGGAAACUGAGCAGCUAGAGUGCUGGAGAGGUAAGCGGAAUUCCUAGUGUAGCGGUGAAAUGCGUAGAUAUUAGGAGGAACACCAGUGGCGAAGGCGGCUUACUGGACAGUAACUGACGUUGAGGCUCGAAAGCGUGGGGAGCACACAGGAUUAGAUACCCCUGUAA